UGCCUGGCAGUUAGUGAUUAAUGUGGCAGUGCAUGGGUGUACUAAUACAUUGAUGGGACUGUUUUGGCAAAGACAUCCGGUCUGCCUCUGGGCACGUACUGAAGGGCAGCUGGCACAGUCAUCUCUGUAGUGUUAGGCAGAUGUGUGGGGGGGAGAUUUGAGCUACUUGUGAGUAGCUUCUCACAUAGUGUUUGAACAGUGUGCUUGAGGAGGUCUGUCGAAUCUUGAAAGCUUACAGAUAUGGGGUUUUGCUUUUUUUUUUUUUCUUAUUUUUUUCCUGUCCCCAUUAGAGUGUAAACCCUAGGAGGAACCUGUCACAGGAAAGAGCUCCUUCUGGAACUGUUCAACCCUUGGUAGGCAACUUUUGUUUAAUUUGUUUAAGGUGAAACACAGUGUACAACACGGGACUUGACCGGAGCUGCUUUUGGCAAGAGGUGUAUUGUAGCUGGCAUAAGAGAGCAGAUGGAAGCAUCUGCCUCGAGGGCAGGUGAGGAGGCUGAGGCUCAGAGGGGCCAAGCUGUACUCUGAAGAGCAGCACGAGAAGGGCGGGCUGGUUGUGAGCUGGAUUGGAGCAGAACAGCCAAGUAGCACGAGGUGUCCCAGGCAAUGUGGGCUGUGAUGUUAUUUCUUGAGAAUCGGAACAAAGCAGGUGCUGAUGGCGGUUUUUUGGUGAUUGGCUUCAGGGUCCAGGUGAGACCUAGUGGUAACUGAGUUGCAGGUGUGCCAUCAGAGAGCUCCUUCUGUCUGGGCUGCACUUUUGGAGGACUAAAACCAGCUUGAUUACCGGCUACAUGUGGCUUGACAGUGUAGAUGCAGCAUUGCCAAGAGACUGAGCAGGGUUGUAUCAGAGUCACCUUUUUUAUCUGCAAAGGGUAAGUCU
Anas platyrhynchos (mallard) is the source of this 880-nucleotide non-coding RNA. Lineage: Eukaryota; Metazoa; Chordata; Aves; Anseriformes; Anatidae. The record is from RefSeq and is a predicted model, not a curated record.